GAUGAACGCUAGCGGCAGGCUUAACACAUGCAAGUCGAGGGGUAGGGUUCUUCGGAAUUUGAGACCGGCGCACGGGUGCGUAACGCGUAUGCAAUCUGCCUUUUACAGAGGGACAGCCCAGAGAAAUUUGGAUUAAUACCUCAUAGUAUAGUACAAUCGCAUGAUUGAACUAUUAAAGUCACAACGGUAAAGAUGAGCAUGCGUCCCAUUAGCUUGUUGGUAAGGUAACGGCUUACCAAGGCUACGAUGGGUAGGGGUCCUGAGAGGGAGAUCCCCCACACUGGUACUGAGACACGGACCAGACUCCUACGGGAGGCAGCAGUGAGGAAUAUUGGACAAUGGGCGCAAGCCUGAUCCAGCCAUGCCGCGUGCAGGAUGACGGUCC
This 385-nucleotide ribosomal RNA is filed under the name uncultured bacterium. RNAcentral describes it as "bacterial SSU rRNA". It matches the Rfam family "Bacterial small subunit ribosomal RNA", at positions 28 to 417 of the family's 1533-position model. The record is from RNAcentral.